RNAcentral lists this ribosomal RNA (253 nucleotides) under uncultured bacterium. Its description in RNAcentral is "partial 16S ribosomal RNA". It matches the Rfam family "Bacterial small subunit ribosomal RNA", at positions 524 to 776 of the family's 1533-position model. The record is from RNAcentral.
GACGAACCGUGCGAACGUUGUUCGGAAUCACUGGGCUUAAAGGGCGCGUAGGCGGCCAGCCAAGUCCGGGGUGAAAGCCCCCGGCUCAACCGGGGAAGGGCCUUGGAUACUGGCUGGCUGGAGGGAGGUAGGGGCAGCUGGAACUUCCGGUGGAGCGGUGAAAUGUGUUGAUAUUGGAAGGAACGCCGGUGGCGAAAGCGGCACACUGGGUCUUAACUGACGCUGAGGCACGAAAGCCAGGGGAGCGAACGGG